GAAAGAAAGAAGGAAAGAAAGAAAGAAAGAAAGAAAGAGAAUUCAAAACAGGUUUUGGAAGCCGCUUCUUCUUCUUCUUUCAGACUUCCUUU
RNAcentral lists this non-coding RNA (92 nucleotides) under Aurantiochytrium limacinum. Lineage: Eukaryota; Bigyra; Thraustochytrida; Thraustochytriidae. The record is from RNAcentral.